CUCCCCUCUUCCUCCUCCUCCUUUCAUCCUCUUUCUCCUUCUCCCUUACACCAAGGACCACUGGCCUUCUUGGACCUUUGUGAUAUUCUUUCCUUUACCUGAAACCCCGCCUCCUGGGGCUCAGACAGGCCCUCCCCAGCUCGCGGCCUCCAGGCGCACCCCACUUCCCUCCGGGCAUCUUGCUCUCGUCUUUCACAGAUUAUGAAAUUGUACACAUAUUUUUGCAAACAGUUUUCAUGUUUAAAAAUACUUAUCAAUUAAAGAAGGCCCUUCUUUUCCUUUUUAAAUUAGGCUUUUUAAACCAAAGGAAUACAUACACAGAACUGAGAAAUCAAAUAUAAUGUCGAGAGAUAUUUCAUGGCAGGCAGCAGGCGCUGAUCACAUCUCUUCCUCCCUCCAGAGAUAACCACGUUCAGCUCUUGGCCAUUUCUCCUUCUGUAUAGAGCCCUUCACCCAAGGAACAUAGUCAUGCUUCUACUUUUUUUCCCCACAUUGUAUAAUAAAAAAAUUCCAAAUGUAUAAAAACGUUGGAAGGUGAAUGCCCAAUAAACCCACCAACAGACCCUACAAUUAACAUUUUGUCAUAUCUGUUCUGUCACAUAACUUUAAUUUUCUGUCCUUGUCUCCAGCCAUCAUUCCAUCUUACCUUCUGGUGCAUUUCCAAGAGAGCUGCAGUGGUGAGUACACUUCACCCCUAAACACUUCACCAAGCAUCUCAUUAACGUUCGAUAUUUGCUGGUGGUUCUUUUUCUUCUUCUUUUUUUUUUCUCCUUCCUUUUGAAAUAAAUUUUAUAGGCAAUGAAAUGUGCACAUCUGACAUGUACCAAUCCAUGAGUUCAGACCUAGGCAUACGACUAUGGAACCAAACAGUCCCUGAGAGGCAGCGCUUAAGUCGCCCCCGCCCCCGCCCCCGCCCGCCCAGGGGAGUUUCCUUACGCACCUUCUUGGAAACGCCAGGCAUGAAUAUGGAUGAAACUCCUCACUGAGACCACAAGGGUACGGCUCAAUUAUUUGCCAUAUAAAGUAGCACAUGAGGAUUCUUUGCGCUUGAUGGUUUCCUCUGUGUAGGGCUGGGUGCCCGCGUGCGCGCGCACCUGUGUGUGCUGGGUGGGGGGUGCGCGGGGUUCGGGGAGACCCUCACUGCAGGCCCGGCCGCCCGGGGAGGGGGUUGG
Molecule: long non-coding RNA, 1172 nt
Filed under: Canis lupus dingo (dingo)
Lineage: Eukaryota; Metazoa; Chordata; Mammalia; Carnivora; Canidae
Description: lncRNA (ENSCAFG00020002401.1)
Source: RNAcentral